GAAUGCCUGAAAUUUAAUUGAGGUAAAAGAAAUGUUCUUAUCAGAAGGCACAAUAGACCUUCCCAGUUUUGUUUGUGGCAGAGUUCAGGAGCCCUCCCCACGACUUACUCUACCUUCCCCCACUUCAGAUAUUAACCUGGACAUCAUGCCUUCCAAACAGUAAAUGAGCUGUGCCAUGUUUUAUUACAUUUCUCAUGUGGCUAAGCUUAGGGUGGCUUUUAAGUGUUCCUCAGCACGCCGUGCUUACGCAAGUUAUUUUCUGCUGUGGAUUGUUGAUGCUGCAGCAGCAGAUAGAGUGAUGUGCCUUGAAUUCCAAUGAGGAGAAGGCGUUGGUUUAUUUGGGUAUUUUGAGUACAGAGGAGCCCCAGGAGAAGCUGGACAAGAGUCCACGGAAUGGACUGCAGUGUCAGAGAUGGGAGCCAUCGGGAUGCCUUUCCAGCCUCUUUUGACUGAAGACAGUCAGGUAAUUCCCACAGACGUGGAGCAAAAAACCCUGAGAAAAUCCUGACACAGGCUUUUGAUCGGAUUUUACACAACUGAGUUCUGCGUGGAGAAAGCGAGGAGGGAACUACAAAGUUAAGCCUGUAAGAUGCUCUCCGUGCCCAGAACUGUUGGCCAUUGAUUUGGCAGGAGAAACUGGCAAAAAAAAAAAAAAAGCCUAUAAAUGUGAGCCUGGGAGUAGGUCUGCUGGAGGACACCACCACUGCCUGAUCUGCAUGCUCCUUUAUGGGGUUCAUCCUCGUUCAGGAGAACUCUCCAAGUUUCUUCGGGCAAUCAUGCAUGCAGGGGCUUGGCGUUAUUUCUGGUUAAAGAAGCUUCACGCCUUGUGUCACAAAUCUCACCUUUGAAGAAACGAUGCAUUUAAAGGUAGGCACAAAAGACUUCAACUGCAGAGCUCCAAACAGGAGGUUUACAUUGAACUAAGGGUGGAAAUGGUUUGGGCCCUUCCAGAAGCACCAUCUGUUUCU
Molecule: long non-coding RNA, 968 nt
Filed under: Calidris pugnax (ruff)
Lineage: Eukaryota; Metazoa; Chordata; Aves; Charadriiformes; Scolopacidae
Description: lncRNA (ENSCPUG00000016412.1)
Source: RNAcentral